GACGAACGCUGGCGGCGGGCUUAACACAUGCAAGUCGAACGGAAAGGCCCUGCUUACUUGGGGUGCUCGAGUGGCGAACGGGUGAGUAACACGGGAGUAACCUUCCCUUUACGGGGUGAUAACUUCAAGAAACUGGUGCUAAUACAUGAUAGGAGCGCGUGCUGCUGGGGGGUGGUUGGAAAGUUUAGGCUGUUGGGGAUGUACGCGCGGCUUAUCAGCUUGUGGGGUGGGUGGCGGCUUAGCAAGGCUUUGACGGGUGGCCGGCCUGGGAGGGUGAACGGCCUCCUUGGGCCUGCGGUACGGCCCAGACGCGUACGUGGGGCAGCAGUCGGGAGUCUUGCACAGUCGGCGGAAGCCUGAGGCAGAAGCGCUGCGUGCGGGAUGAACGCCUUCGGGUUGUAAAGCGCUUUAGCUUAUGACGAAGCGUGAGUGACGGUACUGGGUAAAGAAGCACCGGCUAACUACGUG
This 468-nucleotide ribosomal RNA is filed under the name uncultured bacterium. RNAcentral's name for it is "partial 16S ribosomal RNA". It matches the Rfam family "Bacterial small subunit ribosomal RNA", at positions 28 to 507 of the family's 1533-position model. The record is from RNAcentral.